GUGCACUCACUUUGGCAGCACAUAUACUAAUAUUGGAAUGAUACAGAGAAGACUAGCAUGGCUCCUGUGCAAGGAUGACACAAAUUUGUGAAGCGUUCUACACUUCU
Molecule: small nuclear RNA, 107 nt
Organism: Perognathus longimembris pacificus (Pacific pocket mouse)
Lineage: Eukaryota; Metazoa; Chordata; Mammalia; Rodentia; Heteromyidae
Source: RefSeq, a predicted model, not a curated record